This 73-nucleotide non-coding RNA is filed under the name Salipiger bermudensis HTCC2601. Its description in RNAcentral is "Pelagibaca bermudensis HTCC2601 Singlet oxygen resistance RNA X". It matches the Rfam family "Singlet oxygen resistance RNA X". From Rfam's summary of the family: SorX (RSs2461)like SorY is a singlet oxygen induced sRNA that counteracts oxidative stress by targeting mRNA for a transporter in Rhodobacter. Lineage: Bacteria; Pseudomonadati; Pseudomonadota; Alphaproteobacteria; Rhodobacterales; Roseobacteraceae. The record is from Rfam by way of RNAcentral.
UCCCGUUGCAUGUGCGGGCAUUCACAUGCACCUCCCUGUUGGACCUGGCCGGGCGUCACGCCCGGCCUUUUUU